Molecule: unclassified non-coding RNA, 301 nt
Filed under: Glomeraceae sp.
Lineage: Eukaryota; Fungi; Glomeromycota; Glomeromycetes; Glomerales; Glomeraceae
Description: partial contains 5.8S ribosomal RNA, internal transcribed spacer 2, and large subunit ribosomal RNA
Rfam family: 5.8S ribosomal RNA (bases 1-71)
Source: RNAcentral
GUGAAUCAUCGAAUUUUUGAGCGCAAAUUGCGCUUCCUGGCAUCCCGGGAAGUAUGCCUGUUUGAGGGUCAGUAUUAACAAAAAAUCGGUUUGGUUGCAAAUUGUGACGUUUCCGGAGUUUGGGCUAUCUUAACUUUUUUGGUUAAGGGGCUUAAAAUUUUGCAUGAUUUUUUCGAACGUAUUUAAAUGAUUUUACGUACGUUUGCGAUAUCGAAUACUAGGUGUGGUCAUCCUCAUGAUUCGCGCCUAUAAUUUUUCAUCAAAAUGACCUCAAAUCAGGUAAGAGUACCCGCUGAACUUA